This 774-nucleotide ribosomal RNA is filed under the name uncultured Bacillota bacterium. Its description in RNAcentral is "bacterial SSU rRNA". It matches the Rfam family "Bacterial small subunit ribosomal RNA", at positions 74 to 845 of the family's 1533-position model. Lineage: Bacteria; Bacillati; Bacillota. The record is from RNAcentral.
GGCCCGCAAGGGUCAUUCGAGCGGCGAACGGGUGAGUAACGCGUGGAUAACCUGCCCAGAGGUGGGGGAUAACCCGGGGAAACUCGGGCUAAUACCGCAUAUGACCGUGAGGUCAAAGGGGGCUCGCAAGGGCUCUCGCCAUUGGAGGGGUCCGCGUCCGAUUAGCUAGUUGGUAGGGUAAUGGCCUACCAAGGCGACGAUCGGUAGCCGGCCUGAGAGGGUGAUCGGCCACACUGGAACUGAGACACGGUCCAGACUCCUACGGGAGGCAGCAGUGGGGAAUUUUGCGCAAUGGGCUAACGCCUGACGCAGCAACGCCGCGUGGAGGAUGAAGGUCUUUGGAUUGUAAACUCCUGUCAGCAGGGAAAAAGCGAAUCGGCCUAACACGCCGGUGAGUUGAUUGUACCUGCAGAGGAAGCCCCGGCUAACUCUGUGCCAGCAGCCGCGGUAAUACAGAGGGGGCAAGCGUUAUUCGGAAUUAUUGGGCGUAAAGGGCGCGUAGGCGGCUUGGCAAGUGGAUGGUGAAAUCCCUCGGCUUAACCGAGGAGCUGCCGUCCAAACUGCUUUGCUUGAGGCCGGGAGAGGCGAGUGGAAUUCCCAGUGUAGCGGUGAAAUGCGUAGAUAUUGGGAGGAACACCAGUGGCGAAGGCGGCUCGCUGGACCGGUUCUGACGCUGAUGCGCGAAAGCGUGGGGAGCAAACGGGAUUAGAUACCCCGGUAGUCCACGCUGUAAACGAUGAGUGCUUGGUGUAGCGGGUAUCGACCCCUGCUGUG